Molecule: long non-coding RNA, 364 nt
Filed under: Musa acuminata (dwarf banana)
Lineage: Eukaryota; Viridiplantae; Streptophyta; Magnoliopsida; Zingiberales; Musaceae
Description: long non-coding RNA (MACU_LNC007871)
Source: RNAcentral
GAUUUUCACUUGUGAUAACAAAGGUUCAAAGAUAAAAUUGAUUAUACAGGGCCAGAAGUUUCAUGCAACGAUUACUACACUGAAAAAUCAACCUGUUGCUUACACUCUCAAAAAGUGGAGACCAUACUUACUUGAUCAACGGGUUGUGAUGCGUUGCAGAUAGUCUAUGGCUAAAGUGCCGAAGAGAAGCUCCCUGAGAUUGAUGCUGCUCAGCCUUGAGGACAAGGCUGAUUUGAAGAGGGAGGAACUGUUAGGACCCUUUUUCUAAGCUUUUGAAUAAUGUUUGUUGAGUCUGUUUAGUCCAAUUGUUUAUUGAGUCGGUUUGGUUCAAUUAGAGUCAAGUAGAGGUUUAUUUAAUAUUUAU